This 501-nucleotide ribosomal RNA is filed under the name uncultured bacterium. RNAcentral's name for it is "partial 16S ribosomal RNA". It matches the Rfam family "Bacterial small subunit ribosomal RNA", at positions 30 to 523 of the family's 1533-position model. The record is from RNAcentral.
AUUGAACGCUGGCGGCAUGCCUUACACAUGCAAGUCGAACGGCAGCACGGGUGCUUGCACCUGGUGGCGAGUGGCGAACGGGUGAGUAAUAUAUCGGAACGUACCUUAUUGUGGGGGAUAACGCAGCGAAAGCUGUGCUAAUACCGCAUAAUCCCUAAGGGGGAAAGCGGGGGACCGUAAGGCCUCGCGCAAUUAGAGCGGCCGAUACCUGAUUAGCUAGUUGGUGAGGUAAAGGCUCACCAAGGCAACGAUCAGUAGCUGGUCUGAGAGGACGAUCAGCCACACUGGGACUGAGACACGGCCCAGACUCCUACGGGAGGCAGCAGUGGGGAAUUUUGGACAAUGGGGGCAACCCUGAUCCAGCAAUGCCGCGUGAGUGAAGAAGGCUUUCGGGUUGUAAAGCUCUUUUGUCAGGGAAGAGACAGCAGCUCUAACACAGUAUGCGAAUGACGGUACCUGAAGAAUAAGCACCGGCUAACUACGUGCCAGCCGCCGCCGUAA